CCUACGGGGGGCAGCAGUAGGGAAUAUUGCUCAAUGGAGGAAACCCUGAAGCAGCAACGCCGCGUGGAGGAUGAAGGUUUUCGGAUUGUAAACUCCUUUUGUUAGAGAAGAUAAUGAUGGUAUCUAACGAAUAAGCACCGGCUAACUCCGUGCCAGCAGCCACGGUAAUACGGAGGGUGCAAGCGUUACACGGAAUCACUGGGCGUAAAGGGGGCGUAGGCGGGUUAGCAAGUCAGUUGUGAAAUCCUAGGGCUUAACCGUAGAAUUGCAGUUGAAACUGUUAUUCUAGAGUAUGGGAGAGGUGGGCGGAAUUCGUGGUGUAGGGGUAAAAUGCUUAGAGAUCACGAAGAACACUGAUUGCGAAGGCAGCCUACUGGAAUGUAACUGACGCUGAGGCGCGAAAGCGUGGGGAGCAAACAGGAUUAGAUACCCGAGUAGUC
RNAcentral lists this ribosomal RNA (440 nucleotides) under uncultured bacterium. Its description in RNAcentral is "partial 16S ribosomal RNA". It matches the Rfam family "Bacterial small subunit ribosomal RNA", at positions 338 to 795 of the family's 1533-position model. The record is from RNAcentral.